CACCUAGUGCUCUCCCGUUCCUACAUGGCGUAUACAAAGAGAACCGACCUCGCGAGAGCAAGCGGACCUCAUAAAGUACGUCGUAGUCCGGAUUGGAGUCUGCAACUCGACUCCAUGAAGUCGGAAUCGCUAGUAAUCGUAGAUCAGAAUGCUACGGUGAAUACGUUCCCGGGCCUUGUACACACCGCCCGUCACACCAUGGGAGUGGGUUGCAAAAGAAGUAGGUAGCUUAACCUUCGGGAGGGCGCUUACCACUUUGUGAUUCAUGACUGGGGUGAAGUCGUAACAAGGUAACCGUAGGGGAACCUGCGGUUGAUUCACCUCCUUAA
This 329-nucleotide ribosomal RNA is filed under the name uncultured Pectobacterium sp. Its description in RNAcentral is "bacterial SSU rRNA". It matches the Rfam family "Bacterial small subunit ribosomal RNA", at positions 1205 to 1533 of the family's 1533-position model. Lineage: Bacteria; Pseudomonadati; Pseudomonadota; Gammaproteobacteria; Enterobacterales; Pectobacteriaceae. The record is from RNAcentral.